RNAcentral lists this ribosomal RNA (253 nucleotides) under uncultured bacterium. RNAcentral describes it as "partial 16S ribosomal RNA". It matches the Rfam family "Bacterial small subunit ribosomal RNA", at positions 524 to 776 of the family's 1533-position model. The record is from RNAcentral.
UACGGGGGGGGCAAGCGUUGUUCGGAAUUACUGGGCGUAAAGGGCUCGUAGGCGGCCAACUAAGUCAGACGUGAAAUCCCUCGGCUUAACCGGGGAACUGCGUCUGAUACUGGAUGGCUUGAAUCCGGGAGAGGGAUGCGGAAUUCCAGGUGUAGCGGUGAAAUGCGUAGAUAUCUGGAGGAAUACCGGUGGCGAAGGCGGCAUCCUGGACCGGCAUUGACGCUGAGGAGCGAAAGCCAGGGGAGCAAACGGG